GAUGAACGCUGGCGGCGUGCCUAAUACAUGCAAGUCGAGCGAACAGACAAGGAGCUUGCUCCUUUGACGUUAGCGGCGGACGGGUGAGUGACACGUGGGUAACCUACCUAUAAGACUGGGAUAACUUCGGGAAACCGGAGCUAAUACCGGAUAAUAUUUCGAACCGCAUGGUUCGAUAGUGAAAGAUGGUUUUGCUAUCACUUAUAGAUGGACCCGCGCCGUAUUAGCUAGUUGGUAAGGUAACGGCUUACCAAGGCGACGAUACGUAGCCGACCUGAGAGGGUGAUCGGCCACACUGGAACUGAGACACGGUCCAGACUCCUACGGGAGGCAGCAGUAGGGAAUCUUCCGCAAUGGGCGAAAGCCUGACGGAGCAACGCCGCGUGAGUGAUGAAGGUCUUCGGAUCGUAAAACUCUGUUAUUAGGGAAGAACAUACGUGUAAGUAACUAUGCACGUCUUGACGGUACCUAAUCAGAAAGCCACGGCUAACUACGUGCCAGCAGCCGCGGUAAUACGUAGGUGGCAAGCGUUAUCCGGAAUUAUUGGGCGUAAAGCGCGCGUAGGCGGUUUUUUAAGUUUGAUGUGAAAGCCCACGGCUCAACCCGUGGAGGGUCAUUGGAAACUGGAAAACUUGAGUGCAGAAGAGGAAAGUGGAAUUCCAUGUGUAGCGGUGAAAUGCGCAGAGAUAUGGAGGAACACCAGUGGCGAAGGCGACUUUCUGGUCUGUAACUGACGCUGAUGUGCGAAAGCGUGGGGAUCAAACAGGAUUAGAUACCCUGGUAGUCCACGCCGUAAACGAUGAGUGCUAAGUGUUAGGGGGUUUCCGCCCCUUAGUGCUGCAGCUAACGCAUUAAGCACUCCGCCUGGGGAGUACGACCGCAAGGUUGAAACUCAAAGGAAUUGACGGGGACCCGCACAAGCGGUGGAGCAUGUGGUUUAAUUCGAAGCAACGCGAAGAACCUUACCAAAUCUUGACAUCCUUUGACAACUCUAGAGAUAGAGCCUUCCCCUUCGGGGGACAAAGUGACAGGUGGUGCAUGGUUGUCGUCAGCUCGUGUCGUGAGAUGUUGGGUUAAGUCCCGCAACGAGCGCAACCCUUAAGUUUAGUUGCCAUCAUUAAGUUGGGCACUCUAAGUUGACUGCCGGUGACAAACCGGAGGAAGGUGGGGAUGACGUCAAAUCAUCAUGCCCCUUAUGAUUUGGGCUACACACGUGCUACAAUGGACAAUACAAAGGGCAGCGAAAUCGCGAGGUCAAGCAAAUCCCAUAAAGUUGUUCUCAGUUCGGAUUGUAGUCUGCAACUCGACUACAUGAAGCUGGAAUCGCUAGUAAUCGUAGAUCAGCAUGCUACGGUGAAUACGUUCCCGGGUCU
This 1373-nucleotide ribosomal RNA is filed under the name uncultured bacterium. Its description in RNAcentral is "bacterial SSU rRNA". It matches the Rfam family "Bacterial small subunit ribosomal RNA", at positions 28 to 1381 of the family's 1533-position model. The record is from RNAcentral.